Long non-coding RNA from Zootermopsis nevadensis, 1096 nucleotides. RefSeq lists it as uncharacterized. The record is from RefSeq and is a predicted model, not a curated record. Lineage: Eukaryota; Metazoa; Arthropoda; Insecta; Blattodea; Termopsidae.
UAACAUGCGUCAUUGAGACAUCAUUGUUCAACCCAUUUUUGCUCGGUACCUUGUCACAUUAGUGGAAAAAUGACCCAAAACACAAGAAUGUUCUUCAUGUGGCGUGAAGAACACCCCUCGAGUGCUCAAGAGAGAACGCCUUCAAAAUCACGAGUUCAGUGACCCUAAUGAUUCCGGCGACCUGGUCAAGGACUGCAUGGAAAACGAACGAUUGCGAAAACCCGAGUCAGUGAGACAGUGCGACGCACAUACAGGAAAUGCAAGUUGGUUUGUGCUCCGGAGAUAAGAACUAACGUCGUUACAGUUCAACAAAUUAAUCAUUACAGAAUGUCAAAAAAAUGAGAAAAUCUAAAAUCUGUACCCCCAAUCGGAUAUUAUGAAGGCGACUAACCCCUCAAAUCCCAGUGAUAACUGAAUGUAUUUCCUACUUUAACGAUCUGCAACUUUGUAUUCUCCCCAGAAUGUAUUUAUGGAUUUCGUAUGAUUCUCAAAAUGGAAACAUUCUAUGUUUUCUUUGUUAUAAGAACAAUAUUUUAAAACAUAAUGCAGAUCGAUUCGGCCUCAAAGGCCAAAGUAAAAUAGGAUGAAACCAAAUGAACAUACAGCACGCAAUGGAAACCAUAAACGUACGCAAAAUGUUCGCUGUAAAACGUCAAGGAAGAACAUAAUUGAAAGCCCAACAACAUGAAGGGAAGAUGGGUUAAAAUUUAUCUUACAUAAUGUAAACUUCAUUGAAAUGGCCAAGGAUAAAAUCCAGUGGUGGAGUUUUGUGAUGACGAUGAUGCACCCACAGACAUUUUACGUUAUGUUGGUACCACUGAAUUCUGAUUCUCACGGCUUGCAAAUGACACACCCCGUCUGCAUAAUUUCUCACAAGGUCAUGACUCAUAAAAGUGAACUGUGAAUGUCGCAUGAUCAAUAAUUCACCUCAUUAUUAAUUAUUUAGGUCUGCAUUUUGUGUAUCAGAAUCAAGAAUAUGCGCUGAACAUACAAUGUCUUUUAAAAACUCGUUCUUUGUCAAAUGUUACUUUUGUACCCAGACUAUAAUAAUCUGUAGUCUUACUAGUGACUGUCAACAAUAAAAUUAUUACACAUC